UACAGAGGGGGCAAGCGUUGUUCGGAAUUAUUGGGCGUAAAGGGCGCGUAGGCGGUGCGGUAAGUCACUUGUGAAAUCUCUGGGCUCAACUCAGAGUCUGCAAGCGAAACUGCCGUGCUUGAGUGUCGGAGAGGUAAGUGGAAUUCCCGGUGUAGCGGUGAAAUGCGUAGAUAUCGGGAGGAGCACCUGUGGCGAAAGCGGCUUACUAGACGACAACUGACGCUGAGGCGCGAAAGCUAGGGGAG
RNAcentral lists this ribosomal RNA (245 nucleotides) under uncultured bacterium. RNAcentral describes it as "partial 16S ribosomal RNA". It matches the Rfam family "Bacterial small subunit ribosomal RNA", at positions 524 to 768 of the family's 1533-position model. The record is from RNAcentral.